This 527-nucleotide long non-coding RNA is filed under the name Calidris pugnax (ruff). Its description in RNAcentral is "lncRNA (ENSCPUG00000006558.1)". The record is from RNAcentral. Lineage: Eukaryota; Metazoa; Chordata; Aves; Charadriiformes; Scolopacidae.
AACUUCUGUUUUAUAAUUUGCUGUCUGGUGAAGACUAAUGCAAAAAGCUCGGUUGUUGUUCUGGGAAAGAUUGCUCUGCUGAUGCUAUUGUCCACUCAGCUGGAGUGAGGCCAAUCUCUCAUCACUUCAGCUCUCCUUGAUUGCUUCCUGCCCAAGCUCUGACACAGAAGUUUGCACAGGAAUUUGAAAAGUGAUUAUGAAAUCCCACAGAUCUUCACAAAGAGAAACUUGGCCUUCAUUUUUACUCAGAAAACAGUUACGGUAAAGAUUAUUUUAACAGAAGAGAGGAAAACCCUUGGACUCAGUGCAGCGAAUUGUCCAGUUUAGGAGACACAACUGAGAGCCCUCCUUCAUAUGCUGUUAAGUCCCACAGCCCUUUCGUAAGCAGUGUUGAGAACAACUGCUGCGUUGGAGAAAGCAUGCUUUUCUCUGCCCACCCUGCCAGAUAUUCUGUUUCACAAACAGCAUUUCAGUUGGUAUUGAUCAUUUCUCUGCCUCCUGGAGUCACCAAUGAAGAACACUGUGAG